AGUAAAGAAGUAAAAAAUUUACAUUUAGUUUCGACCUAAAAUUAGGGAUAAAGUAUAAUUCCCCUUACUU
This 70-nucleotide transfer RNA is filed under the name Dysdercus evanescens. Its description in RNAcentral is "tRNA-Arg". The record is from RNAcentral. Lineage: Eukaryota; Metazoa; Arthropoda; Insecta; Hemiptera; Pyrrhocoridae.